GCGGGAGUGUCUGAGUGGUCAAAAGAGCGAGGUUUAGGCCCUCGUGGCGUCAUGCCUACGCAGGUUCGAAUCCUGUCUCCCGCA
This 84-nucleotide transfer RNA is filed under the name Candidatus Woesearchaeota archaeon. Its description in RNAcentral is "tRNA-Leu". It matches the Rfam family "tRNA". From Rfam's summary of the family: Transfer RNA (tRNA) molecules are approximately 80 nucleotides in length. Their secondary structure includes four short double-helical elements and three loops (D, anti-codon, and T loops). Lineage: Archaea; Nanobdellati; Candidatus Woesearchaeota. The record is from RNAcentral.